GUGGGGAAUAUUGGACAAUGGGCACAAGCCUGAUCCAGCAAUGCCGCGUGCAGGAAGAAGGCCUUCGGGUUGUAAACUGCUUUUGUACGGAACGAAACGGUCCUGGUUAAUACCUGGGGCUAAUGACGGUACCGUAAGAAUAAGCACCGGCUAACUACGUGCCAGCAGCCGCGGUAAUACGUAGGGUGCGAGCGUUAAUCGGAAUUACUGGGCGUAAAGCGUGCGCAGGCGGUGCUGUAAGACAGGCGUGAAAUCCCCGGGCUCAACCUGGGAAUUGCGCUUGUGACUGCAGUGCUGGAGUACGGCAGAGGGGGAUGGAAUUCCGCGUGUAGCAGUGAAAUGCGUAGAUAUGCGGAGGAACACCGAUGGCGAAGGCAGUCCCCUGGGCCUGUACUGACGCUCAUGCACGAAAGCGUGGGGAGCAAACAGGAUUAGAAACCCUUGUAGUCC
This 450-nucleotide ribosomal RNA is filed under the name uncultured bacterium. RNAcentral describes it as "partial 16S ribosomal RNA". It matches the Rfam family "Bacterial small subunit ribosomal RNA", at positions 354 to 796 of the family's 1533-position model. The record is from RNAcentral.